Molecule: ribosomal RNA, 253 nt
Filed under: uncultured bacterium
Lineage: Bacteria
Description: partial 16S ribosomal RNA
Rfam family: Bacterial small subunit ribosomal RNA
Source: RNAcentral
UACGAAGGGGGCUAGCGUUGUUCGGAAUUACUGGGCGUAAAGCGCACGUAGGCGGAUUUGUUAGUCAGGGGUGAAAUCCCGGGGCUCAACCUCGGAACUGCCUUUGAUACUGCAAAUCUCGAGUCCGGAAGAGGCGAGUGGAAGUCCUAGUGUAGAGGUGAAAUUCGUAGAUAUUAGGAAGAACACCAGUGGCGAAGGCGGCUCACUGGUCCGGUACUGACGCUGAGGUGCGAAAGCGUGGGGAGCAAACAGG